Molecule: ribosomal RNA, 495 nt
Filed under: uncultured bacterium
Lineage: Bacteria
Description: partial 16S ribosomal RNA
Rfam family: Bacterial small subunit ribosomal RNA
Source: RNAcentral
GACGAACGCUGGCGGCGUGCCUAAUACAUGCAAGUAGAACGCUGAAGGAGGAGCUUGCUUCUCUGGAUGAGUUGCGAACGGGUGAGUAACGCGUAGGUAACCUGCCUGGUAGCGGGGGAUAACUAUUGGAAACGAUAGCUAAUACCGCAUAAGAGUAGAUGUCGCAUGACAUUUGCUUAAAAGGUGCAAUUGCAUCACUACCAGAUGGACCUGCGUUGUAUUAGCUAGUUGGUGAGGUAACGGCUCACCAAGGCAACGAUACAUAGCCGACCUGAGAGGGUGAUCGGCCACACUGGGACUGAGACACGGCCCAGACUCCUACGGGAGGCAGCAGUAGGGAAUCUUCGGCAAUGGACGGAAGUCUGACCGAGCAACGCCGCGUGAGUGAAGAAGGUUUUCGGAUCGUAAAGCUCUGUUGUGAGAGAAGAACGAGUGUGAGAGUGGAAAGUUCACACUGUGACGGUAUCUUACCAGAAAGGGACGGCUAACUACGUG